Molecule: long non-coding RNA, 147 nt
Organism: Pectinophora gossypiella (pink bollworm)
Lineage: Eukaryota; Metazoa; Arthropoda; Insecta; Lepidoptera; Gelechiidae
Exons: 2
Source: RefSeq, a predicted model, not a curated record
GGGAAUUUCUUGCUCUUGUAGGGGAAGCUCUGGUCAUCGACAAUGUGCCAGUGCAACACAUUCAUCUUGUUGGUGGCCAUGCCGUCCAACAACUUGUGCAUCGUGUCCAUCGACAGGUAGUGACGUGACGUGUCCACCAUUAUACCG